This 492-nucleotide ribosomal RNA is filed under the name uncultured bacterium. Its description in RNAcentral is "partial 16S ribosomal RNA". It matches the Rfam family "Bacterial small subunit ribosomal RNA", at positions 29 to 507 of the family's 1533-position model. The record is from RNAcentral.
AGUGAACGCUGGCGGUAGGCCUAACACAUGCAAGUCGAACGGCAGCACAGUAAGAGCUUGCUCUUACGGGUGGCGAGUGGCGGACGGGUGAGGAAUAUAUCGGAAUCUACUUUUUCGUGGGGGAUAACGUAGGGAAACUUACGCUAAUACCGCAUACGACCUACGGGUGAAAGCAGGGGAUCUUCGGACCUCGCGCGAUUGAAUGAGCCGAUGUCGGAUUAGCGAGUUGGUGGGGUAAAGGCCCACCAAGGCGACGAUCCGUAGCUGGUCUGAGAGGAGGAUCAGCCACACUGGAACUGAGACACGGUCCAGACUCCUACGGGAGGCAGCAGUGGGGAAUAUUGGACAAUGGGCGCAAGCCUGAUCCAGCCAUGCCGCGUGGGUGAAGAAGGCCUUCGGGUUGUAAAGCCCUUUUGUUGGGAAAGAAAAGCAGCAGGUUAAUACCCCGCUGUUCUGACGGUACCCAAAGAAUAAGCACCGGCUAACUUCGUG